AGGGAUAAGCUUCUGGUAUACUGAAUAUAAUUUCUUUCCCAAUUGCAAGUUGCUAAAUCAUGGCUGGGGUGAAGGUGAACCGAUCCCCCACCCCCACGAGAUGGAGGAUUCACCGGAGGAUUAACAGUAUUUAUUUAGGGCUUAAACCAGCAACCUAAAAUGCAGAGGGAAUUCCGCUUCAACAAAAUAAAGAAAGAAAUAGUCCCUUUAGCCCAAUAAAGUGCAUUUUUGCAAGAAUCCCCCUGCCUAGCCCCAUCUGAAGAAAAAGUUUAUAAAUGACUCCUAGGGCUGGGAAGAGCCUAAGGAAAACGGGCUAGGGUGGGAACAGUUAAUAGAUAUGACAAUACAUAAAGAACCCCAUUGGUCUCAAAAAUCUGUUUUCAAGGCAGCUCAGAUUCUUCCUCGAGGAUGAAAGGGGGGAUGCUGGGCUAUUGAUACUCCGUACCUACUGCAGCUGGUGCAGCAAACCAGGCGGCACAAAGCAUCUUCCUAGCCAGGCGGCCCUGCUGUCUCCUAGGCAUCUCACUCAGUCACUGUGGGAGCUGAGAAACCUUCCUCUCGCUCCCCUCCACACGCACAUAGCCUAGGUGCAGCCUAAUUGAAACCCACCCCACCGUCGCCGUACCAGACCACACCACACAUCUCCAGACGCAGCCUCCUUCGCCACCCGCACCCCAACCAAGUAUUCCACGGGAAGCAAUCCAAAAGCCCUUCCAGCAAUCUGUUCGAUGGCUGGAUCAGGUUACCGGAGGCAGCCGUCUCAACACUAGCGGUGGCGGCGGCCGCAGCAAUAGCAUCAGAAGCCUCUCCAUGGUUCCCAGCAAACCCUGCGCACACACGACCUACAGGCGGGAGGGGGAGUGCAAGAAUUCCUCCUUAAAAUAACAAUGCUUUCCUCCCAUCCUUUCACACACACACACACACACCCUUUUUUUAAAGGAAGGACAGCUACAUCUCGAAUGCAUCUUUUGGUCCUUUGCUAAAAAAUAAAUAAAAAAUAAAUUAAUUAAAUUUAAAAAAA
Molecule: long non-coding RNA, 1021 nt
Filed under: Monodelphis domestica (gray short-tailed opossum)
Lineage: Eukaryota; Metazoa; Chordata; Mammalia; Didelphimorphia; Didelphidae
Description: lncRNA (ENSMODG00000047714.1)
Source: RNAcentral